UGCACGUGUCUUCUGUAUACUUCAUUACAAGUGGCAAGUCGAUCUUCAGCUAUUAAUAUUUUUCACCCAAGAAAGAAUAUACAUUUGAUACAGCACAUUCAAGAACGAGCUGGUCAACGUUUUCAUCCAGAACUUUAGCAAGAAACGGUGUUUUGGAACAAGUGCUGCUAUAUUGUAACGUGAUCAAAGUAAGGUUUUGUGUUGCUAUUGGCCAAUGACAAAUGUCUCAGCUAGAAUAAAGAAGCUGGAAUUGCUGCCGGACAAAAAUGGUUGGAAAAAACAUAAAGUCAAAAUAUUUACAUUUGCAGACAACUUUUAAAGUGCCCAAACGUUUGCUAGAAGAGCCAUUGCCACUUCAAACAUUGAAUCGAUCAACGACGAUGAGUCAAUGAACGACAAGCCACGAAAACGUCCUCCUCUCAAAAGGAGUAUGGAAGAAUUUUCAUAUUACAGUGACAUAGAACGUAGGCUAUAUAGUCUUCUAAAUAUUUCUCUGCGAUCACAACAACUUACAUACACAGUAACACAGAAAAGUUUUUUUUCUAUUGUUAUAACUACCUACGUGCGUAUAUGGCUGUAGUCAAUGAAGGGUCUUGUGUUUGAAACACAAUAAGUUCUUUGAAUUUGGCUAUGUCUUCUUCCUUAAGAUGGGAAAAGGUAUUUUUUCGCAUCAGACGAUGAUGACAGUGAUGAACCCGUAAUUCAACACACAGCCCCUCAGUUACCUCCUUCUCCACGUUACGCAUCUUUUUGUUUAAACAAUAAGCAUUUAUUGGAAUCUUCUGAAAGAAAUAUGAUAACACCCGUCAAUGAAGUCUUAUCAACAAAUUCUUGAAAUUUGCCGGUGUACAACGAGCUGAUCUCCCUUUGCAGAAAAAGAUUUAUAUGACGGUGAACUAGCACCAGAAAUCCUAAGCACAAAGGAUAAUGCAAUAACUUCCCCCAUCUACUAGUAGGACAGCAUUUCAGCGUAGUGAUACAAGCAACGUUUCAUCACAAAGAAUUCCUACAACUGGCACAAGAGAAAGACUUUUUCAACGAUGUUUGCACAGGUGUUUGCGCACAGUGCUACCAAAAACUGCAGCUAGUUG
Molecule: long non-coding RNA, 1091 nt
Organism: Xenia sp. Carnegie-2017
Lineage: Eukaryota; Metazoa; Cnidaria; Anthozoa; Malacalcyonacea; Xeniidae
Exons: 8
Source: RefSeq, a predicted model, not a curated record